Rosa rugosa (rugosa rose) is the source of this 529-nucleotide long non-coding RNA. RefSeq lists it as uncharacterized. The transcript is spliced from 3 exons. NCBI's taxonomy places the organism in Eukaryota, Viridiplantae, Streptophyta, Magnoliopsida, Rosales, Rosaceae. The record is from RefSeq and is a predicted model, not a curated record.
AUAAACGCAGCGAAAGGUAAUAGGGCUUCCCCCAACUUCGACUUUUUGGGAGGUUUUUACAGGUUCUCUUCUUGUUCGCUUCGUCAAUUGCUGCACAGUCAGUCUCCGCAACAAAAUGGCGCCGCCUCCCGGACCCUAUUCUGGAACCAGCACCCUCGCCUUGGUGGCUCGUGCUUCUGCACUCUCUCUUGGACUCGUCUAUGGAAGCAUUAAGCUUAGGGUCCUCAAGGCCAAGGCUAAAUCUCAUCAGAAGGCUGAAGCAAAGGCUCAUCACUGAAGAUGUGUUCAACCAGAAGUUGUGAAUGAGGAUUUGCGAUAGAAAUAAUGCGUAAGGGUGGACUGUACCAAUAUUUCAUUUCUUAAAGCUUUUGUGGAUUAUGAAAACCUUGCUUUGAACAAUUUUGGAUUGAGAAAUAUAUGAAUUCAGUACUUGGAGGAUGGUUUAUUUAGUUGCCCUUGCCAAUUGUAACGGCACAUCAAUUUCCAUUUCAUAGUGAAAUUAUGAGGGUAAUGGUCCCUUGAUCAAUAA